RNAcentral lists this ribosomal RNA (293 nucleotides) under uncultured bacterium. Its description in RNAcentral is "partial 16S ribosomal RNA". It matches the Rfam family "Bacterial small subunit ribosomal RNA", at positions 505 to 796 of the family's 1533-position model. The record is from RNAcentral.
GUGCCAGCCGCCGCGGUAAAACGUAGGAGGCGAGCGUUAUCCGGAUUUACUGGGCGUAAAGCGCGUGCAGGCGGUUUGGUAAGUCGUGCGUGAAAGCUCCCAGGCUCAACCGGGAGAGGUCGUGCGAGACUGCCAGACUAGAGUUAGAGAGAGGCCAGUAGAAUUCCGGGUGUAGUGGUGAAAUGCGUAGAGAUCCGGAGGAAUACCAGAGGCGAAGGCGGCUGGCUGGCUCUAAACUGACGCUCAGACGCGAAAGCAUGGGGAGCGAACGGGAUUAGAAACCCCAGUAGUCC